This 100-nucleotide ribosomal RNA is filed under the name uncultured eukaryote. RNAcentral describes it as "partial 18S ribosomal RNA". It matches the Rfam family "Eukaryotic small subunit ribosomal RNA", at positions 1299 to 1417 of the family's 1831-position model. The record is from RNAcentral.
UGGUGGAGUGAUUUGUCUGGUUAAUUCCGUUAACGAACGAGACCCCUGCCUGCUAAAUAGUCAAAUGAGUGAUUUUUCACUGAUUGUGGCUUCUUAGAGG